RNAcentral lists this ribosomal RNA (254 nucleotides) under uncultured bacterium. Its description in RNAcentral is "partial 16S ribosomal RNA". It matches the Rfam family "Bacterial small subunit ribosomal RNA", at positions 335 to 605 of the family's 1533-position model. The record is from RNAcentral.
UGUCCUACGGGAGGCAGCAGUGGGGAAUAUUGCACAAUGGGGGAAACCCUGAUGCAGCGACGCCGCGUGAGUGAAGAAGUAUUUCGGUAUGUAAAGCUCUAUCAGCAGGGAAGAAGAAAGACGGUACCUGACUAAGAAGCCCCGGCUAACUACGUGCCAGCAGCCGCGGUAAUACGUAGGGGGCAAGCGUUAUCCGGAUUUACUGGGUGUAAAGGGAGCGAAGACGGCUGUGCAAGUCUGAAGUGAAAGCCCGU